This 370-nucleotide long non-coding RNA is filed under the name Pavo cristatus (Indian peafowl). RNAcentral describes it as "lncRNA (ENSPSTG00000004089.1)". Lineage: Eukaryota; Metazoa; Chordata; Aves; Galliformes; Phasianidae. The record is from RNAcentral.
ACUGCUGCUCCUUCCGCAGGAUGACUGCAGUGAGUACCGCUCCCAGUUUGAGGCUGGUGGGCGGCUGUCCUGCACGCGGGAGAACGACCCCGUCCGGGAUUCCUCUGGCAAGCAGCAUACCAACAAGUGCCUCAUGUGUGCCGAGAAGCUCAAAAAAGAAGCUCAAAGAGGAGGUCAGUCUGGUGGAACUGCCCAGCGCAACAAACAGUCCACUGCAGAGUGUGCAAACCAGAAGAGCUGCAGUGGCUCAGGGUUACAGCAGGGUGUAAAUGAGAGACGGCCGUUCUCCACAAACAGAGGGUGAGUACAGCAGCACUGGAAUCCCAGCCUGGCCCCACAAGUCCUGGGGUCUUGACACUGAGAAGAAACA